RNAcentral lists this transfer RNA (77 nucleotides) under Nocardia farcinica IFM 10152. RNAcentral's name for it is "putative tRNA-Gly". It matches the Rfam family "tRNA". Rfam says of the family: Transfer RNA (tRNA) molecules are approximately 80 nucleotides in length. Their secondary structure includes four short double-helical elements and three loops (D, anti-codon, and T loops). Further hydrogen bonds mediate the characteristic L-shaped molecular structure. tRNAs have two regions of fundamental functional importance: the anti-codon, which is responsible for specific mRNA codon recognition, and the 3' end, to which the tRNAs corresponding amino acid is attached (by aminoacyl-tRNA synthetases). tRNAs cope with the degeneracy of the genetic code in two manners: having more than one tRNA (with a specific anti-codon) for a particular amino acid; and 'wobble' base-pairing, i.e. permitting non-standard base-pairing at the 3rd anti-codon position. Lineage: Bacteria; Bacillati; Actinomycetota; Actinomycetes; Mycobacteriales; Nocardiaceae. The record is from RNAcentral.
GCGGGCGUAGUUCAAUGGUAGAACCUCAGCCUUCCAAGCUGAUGGUGCGGGUUCGAUUCCCGUCGCCCGCUCCACGA